Molecule: ribosomal RNA, 199 nt
Filed under: uncultured bacterium
Lineage: Bacteria
Description: partial 16S ribosomal RNA
Rfam family: Bacterial small subunit ribosomal RNA
Source: RNAcentral
ACGCUCGACACCUACGGGAGGUAGCAGUGGGGAAUAUUGCACAAUGGGGGAAACCCUGAUGCAGCGACGCCGCGUGAGCGAAGAAGUAUCUCGGUAUGUAAAGCUCUAUCAGCAGGGAAGAAGAUGACGGUACCUGACUAAGAAGCACCGGCUAAAUACGUGCCAGCAGCCGCGGUAAUCUGAGGCGGGCUGGCAAGGC